Mauremys reevesii (Reeves's turtle) is the source of this 435-nucleotide long non-coding RNA. RefSeq lists it as uncharacterized. Lineage: Eukaryota; Metazoa; Chordata; Testudines; Geoemydidae. The record is from RefSeq and is a predicted model, not a curated record. The transcript has 4 exons.
UGCUCUAAUCUCCACCCUGAAGUUCAAUUGUUAGCUGAGGUUGUUGGCAAAUGAAUGCAUAAGGACUAUCUUUAAGGACAUGAGAUACUAGGAUUUCAUCCCAGUGACUGCAAAUGGAGGAACAUCAGGUAAUGGUAAAAUGGCAGGAGUGUUUCCAGUUCAGCAGUGCAGCUGCCCUUUUUCUGAUACUCAGGAACAAAGCUGGUGCAGGCAGCAGAGGAGAAAGCACAAAGAUGUUUGAGGAAAAAUUGGGCUGAUGGACAAUAAAGGAUGGCAUUGCUGGUGGAGUAGAGGCCAAUGUCUUGAUAAAUAUGAGAGAGAGGUCAUUCUGCAACACAUGUGGGUGGUCACCAGCUGUUCCUCACCUCAGUCAAGCCUCUGGUUGGAUACAAUGGCACCUACGGUUACAGAAGAAACACUCCAUCUCUGCGCAGG